RNAcentral lists this ribosomal RNA (467 nucleotides) under uncultured bacterium. RNAcentral describes it as "partial 16S ribosomal RNA". It matches the Rfam family "Bacterial small subunit ribosomal RNA", at positions 28 to 507 of the family's 1533-position model. The record is from RNAcentral.
GACGAACGCUGGCGGCGUGCUUAACACAUGCAAGUCGAACGGAAAGGCCCUGCUUUUGUGGGGUCUCGAGUGGCGAACGGGUGAGUAACACGUGAGUAACCUGCCCUUGACUUUGGGAUAACUUCGGGAAACUGGGGCUAAUACCGGAUAGGAGCUCCUGCUGCAUGGUGGGGGUUGGAAAGUUUCGGCGGUUGGGGAUGGACUCGCGGCUUAUCAGCUUGUUGGUGGGGUAGUGGCUUACCAAGGCUUUGACGGGUAGCCGGCCUGAGAGGGUGACCGGCCACAUUGGGACUGAGAUACGGCCCAGACUCCUACGGGAGGCAGCAGUGGGGAAUAUUGCACAAUGGGCGGAAGCCUGAUGCAGCAACGCCGCGUGCGGGAUGACGGCCUUCGGGUUGUAAACCGCUUUCGCCUGUGACGAAGCGUGAGUGACGGUAAUGGGUAAAGAAGCACCGGCUAACUACGUG